CUACGGGAGGCAGCAGCAAGGAAUUUUCGUCAAUGGGCGCAAGCCUGAACGAGCAACGCCGCGUGGAGGGCGACGGCCUUCGGGUUGUAAACUCCUUUUGCGGGGGAUGACAUCGACCGUACCCCGCGAAUCAGGCUCGGCUAACUCUGUGCCAGCAGCCGCGGUAAGACAGAGGAGCCAAGCGUUGUCCGGAUUGACUGGGCGUAAAGCGCACGCAGGCGGUGGGGCACGUGGGGUGUGAAAGCGGCCCGCUUAACGGGGCGAGGCCAUCCCAUACGGCCCGACUCGAGAGUGGCAGAGGUUCGUGGAAUUGCCGGUGUAGUGGUGAAAUGCGUAGAGAUCGGCAGGAACACCAAGGGGGAAACCAGCGAACUGGGCCAUAUCCGACGCUCAGGUGCGAAAGCGUGGGGAGCGAACCGGAUUAGAUACCCCGGUAGUCC
This 440-nucleotide ribosomal RNA is filed under the name uncultured bacterium. RNAcentral describes it as "bacterial SSU rRNA". It matches the Rfam family "Bacterial small subunit ribosomal RNA", at positions 339 to 796 of the family's 1533-position model. The record is from RNAcentral.